RNAcentral lists this ribosomal RNA (492 nucleotides) under uncultured bacterium. RNAcentral's name for it is "partial 16S ribosomal RNA". It matches the Rfam family "Bacterial small subunit ribosomal RNA", at positions 29 to 507 of the family's 1533-position model. The record is from RNAcentral.
AGUGAACGCUGGCGGUAGGCCUAACACAUGCAAGUCGAACGGCAGCACAGUAAGAGCUUGCUCUUACGGGUGGCGAGUGGCGGACGGGUGAGGAAUACAUCGGAAUCUACUUUUUCUUGGGGGAUAACGUAGGGAAACUUACGCUAAUACCGCAUACGACCUACGGGUGAAAGCAGGGGAUCUUCGGACCUUGCGCGAUUGAAUGAGCCGAUGUCGGAUUAGCUAGUUGGCGGGGUAAAGGCCCACCAAGGCGACGAUCCGUAGCUGGUCUGAGAGGAUGAUCAGCCACACUGGAACUGAGACACGGUCCAGACUCCUACGGGAGGCAGCAGUGGGGAAUAUUGGGCAAUGGGCGCAAGCCUGAUCCAGCAAUACCGCGUGGGUGAAGAAGGCCUUCGGGUUGUAAAGCCCUUUUGUUGGGAAAGAAAAGCAGCAUGUUAAUACCCCGCUGUUCUGACGGUACCCAAAGAAUAAGCACCGGCUAACUUCGUG